Molecule: ribosomal RNA, 2082 nt
Filed under: Triticum aestivum (bread wheat)
Lineage: Eukaryota; Viridiplantae; Streptophyta; Magnoliopsida; Poales; Poaceae
Description: partial small subunit ribosomal RNA
Source: RNAcentral
AUGGAGAUUAGCAGCGAGGAGAGGGUGGAGCUCUCCAUCGUGGUGACCCACCCCGACAAUGGCGACGCCGGCGUGGAGGAGGAUCAUCUAUGGCCGACCAAAGACGGCCCUCUUCCUAUAUUCCUCAAGUUUGAGAAUGUGGAGUACAAGGUGAAGCUGAGUCCCAAAAACCCCCUGACGGCUGCAAAGGUGGCCUUCUCAUCCCACAUGAGGGAGGACAAUGGCCGCAGCAGCUGCAAACAUAUCCUCAAGGGCAUAGGCGGCAGCGUCGACCCCGGCGAGAUUCUGGCGCUGAUGGGCCCGUCCGGCAGCGGCAAGACCACCCUGCUCAAGAUACUGGGAGGCAGGCUGGGAGGCGCCGUCAAGGGUCAGAUCACCUACAACGACACCCCCUACAGCCCCUGCCUCAAGCGGAGGAUGGGAUUUGUGACGCAGGACGACGUGCUGUUCCCUCAGCUGACGGUGGAGGAGACGCUGGUGUUCGCCGCCUUCCUGAGGCUGCCGGCGCGCAUGUCCAAGCAGCAGAAGCGCGACCGGGUGGACGCCAUCAUCGCGGAGCUGAACCUGGAGAGGUGCCGGCACACCAAGAUCGGCGGCGCGUUCGUGCGCGGGGUGUCGGGCGGCGAGAGGAAGCGGACGAGCAUCGGGUACGAGAUCCUGGUGGACCCGUCGCUGCUGCUGCUGGACGAGCCCACGUCGGGGCUGGACUCCACGUCGGCCAGCAAGCUCAUCGUCAUCCUGCAGCGGCUGGCCAAGUCGACGCGGCGGACCAUCAUCACCACCAUCCACCAGCCGUCCAGCCGGAUGUUCCACAUGUUCGACAAGCUGCUGCUCAUCUCCGAGGGCCACGCCAUCUACCACGGCAAGGCCAGGGACUGCAUGCACCACUUCUCCUCGCUGGGGUUCACGCCGGAGAUCCCCAUGAACCCGGCCGAGUUCCUGCUGGACCUGGCCACGGGCAACCUCGAGGACAUCAGCGUCCCGGGGCUGCUCCGGGACGGCUCGCCGGCGCCGCAGGAGUUCAGGUCCCGCGUCGUCGCGUACCUCCAGGCCAAGUACAGGGACCACGCCGGCGGCGCCGAGGAGGACCAGGCGAAGCAGCUGGCGAGGAGGCCCGGGGAGCAGCUGAGGCUGGCCAUCCGGAUGCGCAAGGACCGGAGCAUCAACUGGUUCCAGCAGUUCGUGGUGCUGUCGCGUCGCACGUUCCGGGAGCGCGCCGCCGACUACCUGGACAAGAUGCGGCUGGCGCAGGCCGUGGGCGUGGCGCUCCUGCUCGGCCUCCUGUGGUGGAAGUCGCAGACGGGCAACGAGGCGCAGCUGAGGGACCAGGUCGGGCUCAUCUUCUACAUCUGCAUCUUCUGGACCUCGUCGUCGCUCUUCGGCUCCGUCUACGUCUUCCCCUUCGAGAAGCUGUACCUGGUCAAGGAGCGCAAGGCCGACAUGUACCGCCUCAGCGCCUACUACGCCAGCAGCACCCUCUGCGACGCCGUGCCGCACGUCGUCUACCCGGUCCUCUUCAUGGCCAUCCUCUACUUCAUGGCCGACCUCCGCCGCACCGUCCCCUGCUUCUGCCUCACCCUCCUCGCCACCCUCCUCAUCGUCUUCACCAGCCAGGUGCGUAACCUCUUCUUCUUCUUCUUCUUGUGCAUGCCGACGGUGACAUCGACGGCGAACGGCGAUGAUAGCUCGAUCUGUGAUCAUCAGGGGACGGGGGAGCUGCUGGGGGCGGCGAUCCUGAGCGUGAAGAGGGCGGGGGUGAUGGCGUCGCUGGUGCUGAUGCUGUUCCUGCUCACUGGAGGGUACUACGUGCAGCACAUACCCAAGUUCAUACGGUGGCUGAGGUACGUCUCCUUCAUGCACUACGGCUUCAACCUGCUGCUCAAGGCGCAGUACCACGGCCACCUCACCUACAACUGCGGGAGCCGGACCGGGUGCCAGCGGCUGCAGUCGUCGCCGUCGUUCGACACCGUCGACCUCGAUGGCGGCAUGCGCGAGGUCUGGAUCCUGCUCGCCAUGGCCGUCGCGUACCGCCUCCUCGCCUACUUCUGCCUCCUCAAGAGGAUAACCCUCACGCCCUUGUGA